RNAcentral lists this ribosomal RNA (257 nucleotides) under uncultured bacterium. RNAcentral describes it as "partial 16S ribosomal RNA". It matches the Rfam family "Bacterial small subunit ribosomal RNA", at positions 524 to 776 of the family's 1533-position model. The record is from RNAcentral.
UACAGAGGGUGCAAACGUUUGUUCGGAUUUACUGGGCGUAAAGCGCGUGUAGGCUGCUUCGCAAGUCGGAUGUGAAAGCCCCUGGGCUCAACCCAGGAAGUGCAUUCGAAACUGCAGAGCUGGAGUCCUGGAGAGGAAGGCGGAAUUCUCGGUGUAGAGGUGAAAUUCGUAGAUAUCGAGAGGAACACCGGUGGCGAAGGCGGCCUUCUGGACAGUGACUGACGCUGGAGAACGCGAAAGCGUGGGGAGCAAACAGG